UAUGGGACGCCAGUUCGCCAGACUACCGGAACAGCCUCGUGAGGUCGGAACACUGGAAGGCUAUAGCAACGGUGCUGGGAUCAAAAGUCCAGGACGUAGAAAGCAGAUGGCGUAACCUCAAAGACACCUACGCCAAAAAACUCCGCGACAUAUCGAAGCUGGAAAGAAGUGGAGCGGCUGCACCACGAAAGGAGGUCCGCUGGAUGUACUUCGAGCAGCUGAAAUUUCUAAAAGAUACCCUGCAGAUGCGACCCACAUCAAGCAGCAUAUCACUAGAUGGUCAAGAAGACUGCACACAAGGCAGUGCCGCUGAAGAGGACACGCCACUAGUUCUGCAGUGGAACAUCAUUGACGAAACCGGCUCCCCAUCCACUCCUGGCGAUGUGGUGCUUUCAACGACUUCCGCAGCUCUUUCCGACCCAUCACAUGUUG
Long non-coding RNA from Ixodes scapularis (black-legged tick), 432 nucleotides. RefSeq lists it as uncharacterized. The transcript has 3 exons. The record is from RefSeq and is a predicted model, not a curated record. NCBI's taxonomy places the organism in Eukaryota, Metazoa, Arthropoda, Arachnida, Ixodida, Ixodidae.